RNAcentral lists this small RNA (65 nucleotides) under Xanthomonas fragariae. RNAcentral's name for it is "sX9 sRNA". It matches the Rfam family "Xanthomonas sRNA sX9". Lineage: Bacteria; Pseudomonadati; Pseudomonadota; Gammaproteobacteria; Lysobacterales; Lysobacteraceae. The record is from RNAcentral.
AUUUACCACGCGUACACUGCGUCCUGCGCGCCCACCUGGCGACUGCUUGCUACAUUUUGUUAGCC